Molecule: small nuclear RNA, 157 nt
Organism: Heterocephalus glaber (naked mole-rat)
Lineage: Eukaryota; Metazoa; Chordata; Mammalia; Rodentia; Bathyergidae
Gene: U4
Rfam family: U4 spliceosomal RNA
About the family: U4 small nuclear RNA (U4 snRNA) is a component of the major U2-dependent spliceosome. The structure of U4 snRNA from yeast and human has been reported. U4 snRNA presents a k-turn RNA motif in the 5p-SL related to recognition of Snu13 protein.
Source: Ensembl
GCUUUUGCGCAGUGGCAGUAUCGUAGCCAAUGAGGUUUAUCCGAGGCGCGAUUAUUGCUAAUUAAAAAGCCACUGAUGUCUUCCUUGCCCAGAGAUUUAUUAUUAUGCUGCUUGGUUUCCAAGUAUUUCUGGAAUUUUCUGGGUAACUUUCUUUGGU